Molecule: long non-coding RNA, 2012 nt
Filed under: Helianthus annuus (common sunflower)
Lineage: Eukaryota; Viridiplantae; Streptophyta; Magnoliopsida; Asterales; Asteraceae
Description: hypothetical non coding rna
Source: RNAcentral
GGUAGCAAAUAAGGUAAUUUCAUUUAGGCUUUUAGUGACAAGCAAGUUGGACUUAUAACAAAAAAAAAAAUAAUAAAAUACUUGAUAAUUAUUUGCCCGAUUCGAUAUGAAUAUAUGAUACAAAUGCUAACCUAACCUAGAAGCUUAGCUAGUUCAUCGACUCUAAGAGUCGCUUGUGGAGCUACAUCAAGAUAGCUCUCCUUUAAAUCCUUCUUUCGGGUUCUCGUGUUCUUGUUUUUCCCGCCUUUCUUUGGCACCGAAACAGUUACUACCUCGUUCUCGACUGUUUCUUCAUCUUCUUGCUUCUCUGAUGUCGCCGUUACCACCUUCUUAGCCCGUUGGAGUCUAAAAGUGGGCCCGGGCUGCGCGGAUUUCGAAAAAGCAACCGCCUUUGCAUACACCAUGUCGGCAUCCAAAUGGGAAUCUUCUAGAACAUACGCAAUCCCGUCUUGGACCGCUUGCUUUAAGAGUGACAUCACUCCCGUUAAAGAAUCUUGAUUACUCGUGUUUUCUGAUGCAUUGUUUUCGAUAUCAACGUGUGUUAUGCUUUCAUCAUCAUCAUCCGAUACGCUUUCAUCAUCAUCGGACACGCUUUCAUCAUCAUCAGACACGGUUUUAUCGUCAUCAAACACGCUUUUAUCGUCGUUGGUUGUUGAAACUACAGUAUCAUUUUGUUCAGAUUCAGAUUCGGGGUCGGGAUUCUUUGCUUCUCGAGGCUUGUCUUCUUCUGUGAACAUGGAUUUCCAAUUUUGCCCACGCCACAUAAGUAUGUGUUCAUGCUCAAAUGAAAUCAACACACAUGGAACAAGAUCCUGCAGUGUCAAAAACGAAAUUACCAAAUGCUUCGUAAUUUUGACCCGUUCAUUGCAGUUCUGUUUUAUGCUUACCGGGUUAAGCAGGCAAAUUAAAUUAAAAAAAAAAAAAAAAACAGUUUUAAAGAUGCAGGUCAACCAGAUCAAACCUCUUGAAUCAUUUUAUGCAACAAAUAAGAUUAUUAUAAAAAUAAUAUAACUUUGAGUAAAGUAUACCAAAAAUUUGGAUUUGGUCCCUAGCUUUCCAAAAGUACAUGGAUGGUCCCUAUGGGAUUACCUGCUUAUGCUUAUAAUACCAUAGUUGUUAAUAGCGAAUAGCGACAAGCUACCAACACGCUACGUAUGAUAGCGAUGAAAUAGCGGGCACUAUUUUAGUUAAGCGAUACACUAGAAGAUAAUUUUAGAAAUAUUUUAUUUUAUAUGUGUAUUUUAACAGUAUUUUAUCAAAAUACGCUGUUUUCAUAUGUAUAUUUGAAAAAAAAUGAAAAUCCUGCUUUUUAUAGGCAUAUAUUUAAGGCUGGCAAAUCGUGUCUUAGCAGGUUUAACAGGUCUCUGACGACGCGAACAACACAAGUUUUAAACAUGAAUACGACUCGUUUAACUACUUUAUAUCCAAUGUCUAUAACACAGUUGUAUGUUUUAUAAACCAAGAAGGAGAAUUGAUGGAUCCUAACCCUCUAAAUUUAAUUAUUUUUAAGAAAGUGAAAAUUCACAUGGUGUACUUUUCGGUAAACAGGUCUAACCGUGUCUUAUACAGGUUACCUGUCUUAUCCUGUUACAUGAUGAAAUGUUAAAAAUGGCUUUUAUAAGAAUGAUGCUCGACAAACGAAGAAUAUAUAUAAAAGGCAAAGCAUUGUGUCUCACUACUCACUCUAGCGAAUCACAUGGUGCCACAUGGCGGCCUCUUUUUUUAUUAUAAUUUUUAACUCUUUUGUUUUUUUUUUCCCGUUUACACCUUUAACUUUGUUAAUAUACUGUAUACAUGUUCAGUCCUUCUACUUUAACUUUCCUAAUAUACAUGUUUAGUCCCUCUGCUUUAAUAAAGUUUUUUUCUUAUUGGUUAACUUUGUUUAUAUACAUGUUUAGUCUCUCUACUUUAACUUUAGCAAUAUACAUGUUUAGUCCCUCUACUUUUAUUCCUUUUAGUAUUUCGCCAUUUAGUGUUUUUUUCUUACUAACGUGACGAACCGACCCGACUCC